CUCAGCUCCUCUUCAUUUCUUUUUCACGUUCUCCAGGGCAUUAUUAGGCUUUCUUUUUUUGUAUGCAUUUGAGAUUUCUAUUUCAUCUCAGUCUGGUUACAUCCAAGUUUUUAGCUAAAAGUUGCUGUCUUUUGUUUUGUGAUUUCUUCGAGUGGAGUUUGGUCUAUGGUUUGCACACUUCAGAAGCAGCUCCGUGUGCUUCAGCUUCUCUUCUCCUGGUCCACCUGUGACAAUCCCUUCCUUCCCACCCAGGCUGCUCAGACCUGUGCCUGAGCCCCGGGCUCUGCUCUGGCCCCAGCACAGGGGAAGUAUGAGGCCAGCAUUCCAUGAUUCUCCUGGAAAACACAAGUUCCCCAUGCCUCUCUGGAGGGAAGCCUGGCAGCCCUUUCUUCAGUUUCUGGGACAUUUCAGGCAGCUCUGCAUCACUGGAAAACACCAGAUGGGAUGGAGCGAGGCAAUUUUGCAGAAAGUGCUGUGAGACCGGCUUCCUCAGUGAUCUUUCCAGCUGGAAGCAGAGCGGCCAGAAAGCAUUCCUUUCUCAGCCCAGUUUCAUCGCCUCCAGAGCUACAGAUGGCUUCCCCAAGCACCUGAAGUCUGCAGUGCUUCCCUGGAUGGAGCAAGCUGCAAGCCGCAGAAACUCUUUUGUCUUUCCACAGUGCCACUCAGAACCCAGUUUCUUUCUGCCUUGAGAGUGAGAGCAAGGAGACGACACACAGUAAAAAGAGCCAGAAGGAGCAAAGAAGAUAAUCCCCUGGCUUCUGAGAGCUCACAUAUCAGCCAACAGAUUAAAUAUGAGAAUUGUAUUACCUGAAUGAGGACAGAAGGGCAAUGGACAAUCUCUAACAGAAAUGAAACACUUAAAUUAAGGAAAUGAAGUUCCUGUGGGAGGAUGUCAGUCACUACCAGCUGGCCAAGGACAGAUUUUAAACAAACUUUGGAAAUUUGGAAAUAAUAUGAGCAAUUUACUUUGGGUAGGCAAUUAACAAUGUAAACAUUUCAUUUACUUAUUAACUAUUAUUUACAAGAAACUGAGCUAGACAUUUAGAAUCAGAUCUUAAUGCAAGAUGCACACAGUGAGUGGAACUAGCCAAUUAAAAUUAAUGUAAUACAAUUUGUGGUACAGGUAUAUAUAAAUGAGAUUUCUAUGUAGGGAUUUGCCAGAAAUUUUACAAAAGACUUAAUGUUUGAAUUAGAUAUGAAAUUAUCAGGGGUGAUUUCCAAUUAGAUAUAGGUGUGGAACUUGGGACAUCUAAGCAGAGGAAAUAGCAUAUGCAAAUGCAUAGAAAAUAUGUCUGACUGUAGCUUAGAAGACAGAUUUAGAAAACCUCAAAAGAUGAUGAUAGAAAAGUCUGCUAGGACUUGGUUGUAAGAUACUGUUUUUUCUGUGCGAGAGGGUUUGGGAUUUGUCCAACAGGCAAUAGAGAACUAGCAGAGUUUAAAAGAACACAGCAUGCUGAUUAAAAAAGCAAAACAAAAUUCCAUAGAAUUCAUUCUUUUAUCAAUAUCAGUGAAGUUUCUGAAGUCUAGGUCAUGUUAUCUUCUCAAAACAGAGAGAAAAUUUGAGACAAUGGACACCGCCAAUUGUCCCAACCAGCCAGGUUUGGAUAAUCACAGAAUUCAAGAAUUCACAUAUAUGAUCUGGAGCCCAGUUGCUGAGUUGCUUUCCACAGGUAUUUUGUCAAUAAGAAAACAUUGCAAAUAUGACCAAUGAGUGGAGAAAGAAUCACUAACACACUUAAGGGAGAGAAUACGUGGAAAUAAACCCUAUAGAAAUCCAGAACAUGAAGGCCUUUAAGUGACUUCAGGGAGGAGGGAUGACCAAGGACCGAUUUUUACUGACCAACUGUCAAUUUGUAAUACUCCUUAAAAAACAGGCAAAACCAAAGCUAUAGCACAGAGUAGAAAUGAUUUGAUGAUGUAAUGCUUUUGCAUCUGAGCUUUUAAAGCUCUUAGAAAUCUUUUUAAGAAGAUUGAAGACUUCAAACAAAAGCCAGGCAGCCUCCGGAAUGGCCAAUUCUAAGUGGAAGACUAGAGUCCAGUCAUUCUCCAGGGAAAGGAACCUGAUUCCUCGGUGAGCCAGGCGCUGCUCUGCUUGGUCACUCUCAGAACAGAAGUCCAGGAGCAGCUCCAAGGCUUUCCUCAGGAUCUGGCCAUCAGGCCUCUCCCGAAUGAGUCCACCUCUCCCUCUGGAUCCCCAGAAAGAUGAUUAAAUGAGUCAUAAUUUAAGAAAGAAAAGGCUGGCAACUGGGACCUCAGCUUGAGGUCACGACUGUGUAUAAAGAAUGUGAGGAAAAGAAUCCAUCAUUCCAUUGAUUUCUUACAUCUUUCCCGUGGACUAGCAAUUUAAUGAAAAAUAGCCAAUUGUCCUGAAGGUGUUGCUCUUGGAAGGUGCCUGCAUACCAGGAAAGCCAUGAAUGCCGCAGGGACCUCAAGCAGACAAGACCCUGAAGGCAGGAGGUGCAAGAGAGCUGAGAAUCAUGCAGACUUCAGCGUUCCCACGUGCUCCCCAUCCCAGGGGAGAGAAAAAUUAAAAAAAAAAAAAAUUUCUUGACCUGGAGCUCCCUCUCUAGCUCUCCCUAGUAUCUUGCCAAUCCUUCCCACACUAAUUUCUUGAAAAGUCUUUCUGCUCUCUGUCCAUUCACUGCUCAGUGCACUUUACCGGAAGCGUUCAAAUCAGCUUACCAAUGACCUCCACAUUGCUAAAGCCAGUGAAGUUUUAAAAUUUCUUAUCUGACUGGACCUUUUUGUCUUACUUGGUAUUAUUCUUUCCUCCUUUUAAUGAUAAUAAUAAUAGAAUAAUAGCUAAUAUUACUGAGUAUUAAGUAUUUGCCACACAUUGUGCUAAACAUACAUUAAAACUCCACUUUUUUUCCUGAAAUGUAAAUUUGGCAUCUUCCUUGGUGAACAAACUAAGUUACAUGCUAUAUGGUGGCACGUGAGUGAAGAGUCCUCUUGGUGUGCUGCGUACAUAGGGACCAUGGAUCCUGCAGACCCUGUUGGAGAAUACAUCACUGAUCCCAAACCCCAUUUGCUGGUGGUACCAAGGCUCUGAUCUUAUCGCCCUCUCUGGCUGGGUGGUUUUGGGAAGGGACUAGAGCCCCCAGAGAAAGGCCUCAGAGAAGCAGAGACUAACUCAUCAGCAAUAAUAGAUGCCGGCAUGCUGUAUGAAACACCUACAACCUGAGAUUAUUUCAGUGACUGCCUGUCUUCCUUUUUCAUUCUGUUUCUCUCCACGAUAACUUUUGCUCUGAACUUUGUGCCACCGCACAGAGUACAGGUCAGCUAAGAACAGACUACCAGUUUAUACAUGACUUCAGUUCUAUUCUAGGAAGCAAAGGCCAUACGGAUAGUCUAGAGUAAGUGAAGAAGGCCCAAAGAAAGCAGAAAUCAAGUAGGUAUAUUGAUGUUGAAGGGCCACUGCUAGAAGGUAGCGAUUGAUGCAGCAUAAAUGCCAAACGACUGUGUUCUUUGGUCUGGCCCAGACACGCAGCCAGAGCCCUAAACCUCGGAGGCCAUGCUGCAACCACACACAGUUACCCACACGCUCCGAGGCCUCUCUGUGCCAUUAAAGGUGGUUUCUUUGUAGUUUUCCUUAGCAUGGAUAAUAACUUGCUAGUGUGUUUGUUAUAUUGUUUUCCAAGCUGCCACAUGUUUUCUCUCUCUUGACCUUUAAUGGCAUUUACUGGAAAUACCUUCAUGUCCAACUGAAGUAAAAUUUCAUCAGAUUUAUUUCUAUUUAAGGACAUUACUUAUUCAGAAUGAUAAUAUAUUCCUUCUCUAUAUUCAUGCAUUAAUGUAACCACAUUAUUUUUCUUCCUCAUUUCUUUUAAUAGCAGGGAAAUAGUGAAUUCAGGGAAAAUUACUCUGCAUAAAAUGCCAUGAGUCUUUUCCCUGGGCCUGGAGAUAUGAAUUUUACAAGAUUCCCCUCUGAGGAGUCAACAGCCGGAGCUCAGUAAACAGGUGGGUUCAAUUGAGAGAAAUUGAAGAAAAUUUCCAAGACCACUCAGCUGAGAAAAGGUAGAAUCAGGGGCUGGCCCCGUGGCCCAGUGGUUAAGUUCGCGCGCUCAGCUGCAGGCGGCCCAGUGUUUCGUGGUUCGAAUCCUGGGCGCGGACAGGGCACUGCUCAUCAAACCACGCUGAGGCAGCAUCCCACAUGCCACAACUAGAAGGACCCACAACGAAGAACAUACAACUAUAUACGGGGUCUUUGGGGAGAAAAAGGAAAAAAAAAAUAAAAUCUUAAAAAAAAAAACCAGGGUAGAAUCCGUGUUUACACUCGUGUCUAUCUUACUCUGAAGCUCUUGUUCUUUCUUUCACACAAUACUGCCUCUGUCUUCACAUCUCCAUAGCGGGUGUCUGAGUUUAAGAGCUCAUAGUGAACAGAACCUGUUGAACACAGCUACUGCCUUUGUGACCACAAUGUGAUUAUUAAAUGAAUUAGUUAAAGCAUGAAUGACAUUGCUCAUGACCAUUGAGUGAUUAUCAUACCUUUGAGCUUUGUGAAAAGAUUGCAGUCGUAUUCUCAAAUUUGAAUGAAAAAUUUGUCAACCACUUAGAAAUAAUAGCCCUGGGGUUAUCUUUUUGCACUAAGUCUUAAACUUGCUGCAUUUUGGAAUUACCUAGGGGGUUGCAAACAACGUGCUCAGGCCACAACCUGUACCAAUUAUUUGAGAAUCUCUAGGAAUGGGACCCAAGCAUCAGUAAUUUUUAAAGCACCCCAGCAGACUGCAGUGUGGAACCAAAUCUGAGAUGCAGUAACAGAGCAGUUUGUCUUUCAGUGCAACACGACGUGGCGUGCCCUUGGUAAGGGCCACAAGCUGAUAUAGGGUGGAGAUCUAUUCAGAGACAUUAGAGACCUGGAAACUAAAGAAUUUGGACAAAGUUGAUGUUUCUCAAAAUAUAAUCUGUGGCAUAUUUAGUCACAAUUCGUGACUCAAUAGACAUAUUAGUAAGAAAUAAAUAGGAGAAAAACAAGGCCCAUUGUCAAAUCUAUUUAGAAAAUGCUGGGUUAACCACACAGAUUUUUUUUUUGUUAUUGCUAUUUUUGUUGUUUUAACCUCAGGCCUUUUCA
This 5071-nucleotide long non-coding RNA is filed under the name Equus caballus (horse). Its description in RNAcentral is "lncRNA (ENSECAG00000043645.2)". The record is from RNAcentral. Lineage: Eukaryota; Metazoa; Chordata; Mammalia; Perissodactyla; Equidae.